CUCUUCGGGGAUGAUUAAACCGGCGCACGGGCUGAGUAACACGUGAGUGACCUGCCUUUUAGACUGGAACAACUUACCGAAAGGUGAGCUAAUGCCGGAUGAGUUAUAUAAGUGCAUGUUUAUAUAGGAAAAGUUGGGGAGACCUGACGCUGAAAGAUGGACUCGCGUCCCAUUAGCUAGUUGGUAGGGUAAUGGCCUACCAAGGCGACGAUGGGUAGCCGGCCUGAGAGGGUGGCCGGCCACACUGGGACUGAGACACGGCCCAGACUCCUACGGGAGGCAGCAGUGGGGAAUUUUGCGCAAUGCUCGUAAGAGUGACGCAGCGACGCCGCGUGAAUGACGAAGGCCUUCGGGUCGUAAAGUUCUUUCGACAGGGAAGAAAAUGCCUAUAAGUAACUGUGUAUGUAUUGACGGUACCUGUAUAAGCAGCCCCGGCUAACUCCGUGCCAGCAGCCGCGGUAAUACGGAGGGGGCGAGCGUUGUUCGGAGUGACUGGGCGUAAAGAGCACGUAGGCGGUGUUGUAAGUCAUUAGUCAAAGACUAGAGCUCAACUUUAGUAAGGCUAGUGAUACUAUAAUACUAGAGUAUCAGAGAGGAUUGCAGAAUUCCUGGUGUAGCGGUGAAAUGCGUAGAUAUCAGGAGGAAUACCGUUAGCGAAGGCGGCAAUCUGGCUGGAAACUGACGCUGAGGUGCGAAAGCGUGGGUAGCAAACAGGAUUAGAUACCCUGGUAGUCCACGCUGUAAACGAUGGAUGCUAGGUGUUGGGCUUUUAAGUUCAGUGCCGCAGCAAACGCGAUAAGCAUCCCGCCUGGGGAG
This 816-nucleotide ribosomal RNA is filed under the name uncultured bacterium. Its description in RNAcentral is "bacterial SSU rRNA". It matches the Rfam family "Bacterial small subunit ribosomal RNA", at positions 76 to 880 of the family's 1533-position model. The record is from RNAcentral.